CUCGUUCGCCUGAGCACAGCGAUGGAGAACCAACCAGCCGGACCCCGGAUGACCCUCCUGCAGCUCAGGUGCGGCGAGGCUGUUGCAAUUAGGAUUUGGCUCUUGGUCGUGGAGAGGAGCGUAAAUUGGGUGGUAAAUUUCAUCUAAAGCUAAAUACAGGCUCGAGACCGAUAGCAAACAAGUACCAUGAGGGAAAGAUGAAAAGGACUUUGAAAAGAGAGCUAAAAGUGCUUGAAAUCGCUGAACUGGAAGCGAAUGGAACUAGUGCUCUGGUUGCUGGCGCAAAAAAUCCCAGCAGUCACCUUCAUUGCGCACAGAGGUUUGACACCUGAGAACUUGCACAAGUGCUAGACUCCUUGGUCCGUGUUUCAAGACGG
Molecule: non-coding RNA, 377 nt
Filed under: Symbiodinium microadriaticum
Lineage: Eukaryota; Dinophyceae; Suessiales; Symbiodiniaceae
Description: Eukaryotic large subunit ribosomal RNA
Rfam family: Eukaryotic large subunit ribosomal RNA
Source: Rfam by way of RNAcentral